This 2773-nucleotide long non-coding RNA is filed under the name Daucus carota (carrot). Its description in RNAcentral is "long non-coding RNA (DCAR_LNC002860)". The record is from RNAcentral. Lineage: Eukaryota; Viridiplantae; Streptophyta; Magnoliopsida; Apiales; Apiaceae.
CUACCACUAAUCACUUUCAUUUGACAUGUCAUAAAGAACUUCUUCACACAUGAGGACUGUUUAGGUGAGUGACAAAUGGAUCAAAGAACUCACCAGUUGUCAUACUUACAGCUGUACAAUGGGCUACUAAUAAGUUGUAGUAACUAUUUUGCUCACACAACUUGGCCACUAACCUGUAUUUAAAUGCAUAAUACUAUUGCUAGCUUCUGUUUCUGUCUCUGUAUCAAUGACUUGUCCGGUCCUUGUGCCAGCUUAUCACCUGUGUCGUGCUAGAUUGGCUGCUUUGCUAUCACUCUUUAUUCUAUCAGCAUACAUUGGCAGACGAAUGUUCUCGUUAAUUUCUUUCAGUAAAACUUCCUCUGUAAUAUUGUCCUUUAUACUUCUCAAAACCUGUCUCCAAUUUAUUGAAAACUUAAUAUUCAGGAAAGUUUGGGACUAAUAUCAGCUUAGGAAUAAAUUUCAAAAGAAAUACCAACAGGCUGACCAUUCUGUAGGCUGGCCUGAUUUGUUGGUAUCAUCUGCAGUUUUCGAAUAUGCUAACUAGUACUGUCUAUUUUCUAAUAUGUUGAACUGGUACUAUCUGUUCCGUGGAUUUUUGAUGCAGGCUUCUAAUAAUGGAAAAUUAGAAAUUAUUGGAGAACAAAAUUGACGAAGAAGAGAUGGAAGAAGAGAUAGACGAUGAAUUUUAUGAGACGGUUAAGCUUUUGUGAUGAUAAUUGAUGCAAUUUUGACCAUCUUGAGAGAUUAUAUAAACAUGAUGCAUGAACCUAUCCGCCGUUCUCUUACACGAUGACCAGUAGCGAGACUCGGAUAUCAUUUUGUAAAUAAUUGAUGAAGAUUCACAUAAUUUUCGUGAAUUACAUAGAACAUAUGUCUUUCUCAAGCUGUGUUGUAUAAUAAAAAAAGGAACUUUUUGGGAAAAUACAAAAUAUGUAUCCAUUGAAGAAAUGUUAGCUACUUUUCUACUAAUUGUGGAAUACAAUGAUCACUGUUGUAAUGUUAGGCAAAAGGUUUAAUCGCUCACACUUUGCUACUGGUACAAAUUUUAACAAAGUUCCGAAUAUUUUGAACACUAUAGCACCAUAAUUAAUGGUAAAGCCGGUAGGUGUUUCUACCAAAAUUUUUGAGAGCACAAGAUUUUAUCCUUUAUUUUAAGAUAUUAUUUUAAUUGUAAUCCAUUAGUUAACCAUAAUUUGAUUUGAUUUCGAAACUUUAAUUUUUUUCUUGAAACUCAUAUCCCAACUAUGAUACGAGGUCGGGAAGUAAGUAGCUACCAUAAUCGGCAUGGAUUCAAUUCUUAAAAUAUUUUAGUUACUUGCAACUUCGAUUUGGAAUUCAUGCUUAGUGGGUGGGUAGGUUUGGCACAUGAUUCAAAAAUUUUAAAUGAUGCAUUAUCAAAAAGAAAUGGGCUUGAAGUUCCCCAAAGUAUAUAAAUUUCAUUAUUUAUUCUUCUAUUAUAAAUUAUUGUUCAAAGUAAUUGUAUAUCUCACGCUUAUUUAUUGUACACUUUUAUUUUUGGGAAAAGAAAUAUUUUCUUCUAAAUUGUGGAUUUGCUAAUCGUUGUCAGUUUUUAGCUCCUCUGAGCGGUGUCCGAUAUCAUCUAAAAGAUCUUGAUGGCCACCCAAGAAAUGCAAAUGAGCAUUUUAAUCUCCGUCAUUCGUCAUUGAGAAAUGUGAUUGAGAGAAUUUUUGGUGUAUUCAAAACAAGAUUUACAAUAUUAAAAGUUGCAGCUUUGUUUUCAUUUCAAACACAAGCAGAAUUGGUAUUAGCUUGUAUUGGAUUACACAACUUUCUUCGGAAACAAUGCCGCUCUGAUGGAUUUUCGGUUGAAAAUAGAUAUGUUUCCGACUUGUUAAAAUAAGACAUAAAUGAGAAAUCUAUAUCUGUACAAUCAUAAAAGCUAAAGCUAGUAAUUUUCAGAUCUAAAGGCAACAACUUGCAAAAUGGACGCAUAAUUUUUACAAAAAACUCCUUGACACCAUGACAUUUAAGGUUUUAUGGACAUGGACUUUUCUAUCUGCAUAGUUAAUAUAAGAGUUGCAACUUCUGCAAUCAUGAUUGCAAAUAUUGCAAACAAGAUAGCAAAGAUGCAACUGAUAGAAAUAAUUGAAUCUGACUAUUAAGAUGGUUUUCCACAGGGGGCCAGUUAUACAAAAUCAAUACAAUUAAAAUAGACCCAAAAAGUCUACAGGAUCAAAGUCUACGGACUUUAUUACAAAUAAUUAAUCUUCUUGACAAUUGCAUGUAAAAAAGAACUUGACUCAUUGACAGUUCUUGACUUAUCAACAAGCCUGCAUAAUUUUGAAAACAUAAUUGAAAGUGUGCACAAUUAGGUUUAUAUAUUUUUUUUGUACUAAUCAUAUCCCAAAAAUCUAAAUAAACACAUAACAACAUUAAGAUUAAGAUUUCACAGAAGGACAAAAUGGAUUCAAAUAUACAAACCCAACUACAAGAUUCUAGUAUGAAGGACUUUCAUAUACCUCAAAGGUUGGAAUCAUAUUGUCUUGAAUUGUUAGGUUGAACCUUUUGCCUUUUUCUUUUGUCUUUGAUUUUUCAAUUUCAACUUUCUUCGGUGCCAACUUAGUAACAAACUUUGAAGCAGAGCCACGCUAUGAAGGAGAGUGAGACAGUGACGAGAAUCUUGUAUGAACCAUUAUAUAUAACGGUAGUCUAUCUUGUGACCUGAGGGCACAGGUUAAGUUAACCUAUCAUAUUUGCUCUCUUUUUCUGCAACUUGGACUCUCUCUCUUCUCUUUUUUCACCUGACAUUAAU